UUCAUAUAUUUUUGUCUUUUUUUUUUUUUUUUUUGAAAUAAUUUUCAUAUAUUUUAUACAUUCUUUUCUCUUUGAAGUUAAAGCAUCAAAUAAGCAUUCUAUCAAAAUUAAAGGUUAAAGACUUUAAAUUUCUAGAUCUAAGGUAGAGGAUAAAUUCUGAUAAGUGAACCAAUAGCCUCUUUCUCUUUCUUUUUUGUGUUUGCUGUUAUCAAUUUUUUCUUUCAAAUUUUUAUACCAUAUUCCUUGCUUGUACUCAUACAACAUUUUGUGGGUAAUUUUUUUUCAGUAAACUAUGGUUUGAAUUAUCCUGUUAGUUAUUACAAUGUUGCAUGUGACUAUUGUAUUUGAAUUGUGCACGACAAUAUCGAUUUUCAUCGUAUAACUAUUAAUUGAUUGUGUAGUUCCUGCAAAAUUUUGACAUAUGAUUUAAGGAUAGUAGAAAAGGAUUCGAUUUCAGAAUAAUCAAGUUGAAUUUUUGCCAGUCAGGUUAGAGACCUUAUGAGAUCUAUCCUUUUGUUGCAGUUUUUCAAGAAUCGGUAACGGUUCGGUUCCCAUGAGAUCUAGUUUUAUAGUGUGCGUACGGUCAUAUGGCACUGGGAAAGCUCAUAUGUGGCGUUCCAUGCCUGAUUGGUUGUGUUGAAGGAAUGAGAGUGAGAUGUGCGGAAAAAUUGUGAGAUGAGAAAAAAUUAUUUGUUAUUAGAAUUGAGAAAAUCAAAUAUUGUAAUUUAGGUGUCUGAUCUUUGCCAUGGCGGGUGCGCUCUCAUGGCAGGUCAAAAAGUGCAAUAAAAUUUAUAUCUUUUUGGUUUUGGGGGGAUGAGGAGAUGGCACGGGAUAUUAAUAUAUUAUUUUGGCCCGGCUCUCCCUAUUUCCCAUUUGUCUGCAUGUGUACUAUUUUCUUUUUCUAAUUCUUAUAUUUAUUUUCUGACAAUUAAUAUAAAUUAUAUCCUGACGUAAAUUAUAUAAUUUACGAUUCUAACCUUUGGUAUGGCGGGUGCCAUGGCAUAACAUGUCAAAAAAUGAAAUAAAGUUCACCCUAUUUUUAGUUUUUAAGGGAUUGGGAGAUGCGACGGGAUAUUGACAUACUAUUUCGACUCGGAUCUCCCUAUCUCCCAAUUGUCUACAUGCAUACUUUUUUAUUUUUCUUACUUCUAUAUAUUUUCUUACCAAUGGCAUAAAUUAUAUAUUUAGAUAAAUUAUAUAAUUUAUGUGUAUGACCUUUGCUAUGACGGGUGCGCUAACAUGGCAAGUCAGCCAUACAAAUGUAAUAAAAUUAACAUUUUUUUGGUUUUGAGGGGAUGGGUAGAUGACAAGGGAUAUUAAUGCAUUAUUUUUGCUUGGCUUUCUCUAUCUCCGAUUUUUGUGUAUGUAUACUUUUAACUCUUUCCUAACUUUUAUAUUUAUUUUUUGAUUAAUUGUCUAAAUUAUGUAUUUAUAUAAAUUAUAUAAUUUAAGUUUUUGACAUUUGUCAUGACAGAUGCACUCGCAUGGCAAGUCAAAAAGUGCAAUAAAAUUCACAUCUUUUUAUGUUUUGAGGGUAUUGGAAAAUGGCAUGGGAGAUUAAUAUAUUAUUUUUGCUAGGCUCUCCUAUCUUUCAUUUGUCUGCCUGUGUACUUUUGUCUCUUUCUUAGUUCUUAUAUUUAUUUUCUAAUCAAUAGUAUAAAUUAUUUACUUAGGUGAAUUAUGUAAUUUACGUGUUUGAUCUUUGCAAUGGUGGGUGUGCUUGCCUGGCAGGUCAAAAAAUGUAAUAAAACUCACGUUUUUCUCUUGGUUUUGGGGGGAUUGCGAGAUGGGACAGGGUAUUAAUAUAAAAAUUAUAUUAUUUAUGUGUUUGACCUUUGCCAUUCGCAUGGCAGGUCAAAAAGUGCAAUAAAAUUUAAGUUUUUUUAUUUUGGUUUUCGAGAAUGGAGAGAUGACACAGGAUAUUAGCUCUUUCUAUCUCUGAUUUUUCUGUCUGUGUACUUUUUUCUUUAUCCCAACUUUUAUUUUUAUUUUUUGACCAAAAGUAUAAAUUAUGUAUUUAUGUAAAUUAUAUAAUUUACGUGUUUGAUCUUUGCUAUGGUGGGUGUACUUGCAUGGCAGGUCAAAAAGUGCAAUAAAACUUACGUUCUUUUUGGUUUUGGGAGAAUUAGGAGAUCGGACGGGAUAUUAAUAUGUAAAUUGGCUUAGGUCUCCCAAUCUCCCAUUUGUUUGCUUAUGUACUUUUUUUUUCUUCCCUAUCUUUUAUGUUUAUUUUCUAACCAAUUGUAUAAAUUAUAUAUUUAUGUAAGUUAUAUAAUUUAUGUGUCUGACCUUCUCCAUAGCGGGUGCGCUCGUAUGGCAGGUCAUAAAGUGUAAUAAUAUCCACGUUUUUUCUUGGUAUUUCACAAAAUCUGAGUAUGAGUGAUUAUAAAACGACUGCAAAACAACAAAGUUGCUGGAUGACGUCACCCACCCAAAAAAAAAUUAAAUUUAAAUUAAAAUUGGGAGUUUACUGGAUUCUGCUGUAAUUUUUAAUGUAUCAGAUGUCUCUGGUCACUUCGCUUUGGUAGGGAGGGAAGGAGGUAGGUGCAAUUGCUCGACGUGAAGAUUUUAUAGCGGAGAAACAAUGGAACCUAUGUUCCUAAAGGCCAUGUCUUUUUGUUAGGGGACAACCGAAACAACAGCUGCGACUCCUAUGAUUGCAGGAAGAAUGGUAAAGGAAAAUGGAGGCGACAUCUGUUAAGAAGAAGAAAGAGUAAGAGCAGAAGUUUGCUUGAUAUGGUGUUUUCUUGGUUUCUUACAGAUGUUCUUGACGGAGAUCUUUACAAAGACAAGGUAGAUACAUAUAUAUGUAUGUAUACCACAGGUCAGAAAGAUUAUUAAGAGUUCCGAAUCAGUUUAGAGUUGCCCGAAAUCCUUCAUUCCUUCGUUGAUUGAAGAAAUACGUUUUGAUAGGAAUCAAUUUCUUAGGCAACACCAACUUGUGAAAUAGUGAACGUUGAAAUAUCUGAAUGUUAUAAGCCUCCCAAUAACUUGUUCUAUACAUUUACAGCGAAAAGUAAUAAUCCACAAAGUGUAUUGAUGAUCUCAACAGGCCAAGCAGACCUCAUCUCAUUGCUCAUGUUUACUGGGUAGAUAAAUAUAAGCCUGAUUGAUGCUCUAUGCUCUCGUCGAAGCCUAUUGCGGGUGAGGAUGACAUAGGAACUUGUAGGAAUUUGUUACUUGGAGAAGAUAAUAGGAAAAGCACGAACAAAAAAAGAAAUGUUUUUAUGAGUUUAUCUCAUUAACAUGACCACGAGUGUUCGAAUAUGGAAAGCAAUAGACCCGAAGCUCAAGCAGACAAAAUUGAAUAUAAUCAAGAAUGUGUGUCAACCGAUGUCUUAUGGGAGUAAAUCAGAUUGUGUGUCAACCGAUGUCUUAUAUAAGUGGGGAGUAAAUUAGAUUGUGCGGCUUAUUUAUCUGAAGAGAUUGAAACUCCGGUUGUUUCAAAUAUCUUAAGCAUAAUUUCUUCUUUCAAUUAAAUGAUUCCCGGGAAGCUGCAAAUUUAAGUUUUAUUAGAACAAGAGAGUGUCACCAUGAUAAAACUACGAAAUUGAUUUGGGGACUUUCAGGGACUGGCAAGACAAGGCAUACGCGAUCCAGAAGAGAAUUGGAGACAAAUACGUUUUACAAAAAGAGAGUGGAUUUGCUGUAAAUAUUCGCUCUGUUGUUGGAUUUCAAGGUGGCAAGGAGGACGUGAUAAUCAUAUCUUCUGAGAGAUCCAAUGGAACUAGAUCAAUUGGUUUUCUUUCGAAUAAUCAGAGUGUCAGUGUAGCUCUAACUCGUGCAAGGUAUCAUACCGAUCAGAAGAUAAUAAUUCAGAUCUAGCAUAUUUGGCUUUCCGUUUCUUUAUCACUAAAACCAAAGGGUAUUAUAUGCUUACAUGUACUGUAUGGAUGGAUAUUAGGGAAUGAGACAACUUUAAGUAAUAGAGUUCAUUAGGAGAAACUGAUAAAUGAUGUCAGACAGCAAGGAUGUCUGCAUAAUGCCAAUGAAGAUAAAAUCUUGUAUGAGGCACACUUGCUGUUGUGCUGGUUGAAAUCGAUCAAGUUGAUAUGGUGUUAAAAUCCCUUGGAUCUCUGAGCUUAAGGGAUAAUCACAGAGAAUCAAAAUCAACUCACAAAUGAGUGGUUAAAUAUGAGUGUUAUCUGAAAAUUUUGAUAAAAUCUUCUGAGAUAAAUCAUGUAGACUAGUUUGAUUUUUUUUUUUUAAUUUAUUAAUUUUAUAGUGAUUAUCAUCA
This is a non-coding RNA of Carica papaya (papaya), 4237 nucleotides long. Lineage: Eukaryota; Viridiplantae; Streptophyta; Magnoliopsida; Brassicales; Caricaceae. The record is from RefSeq and is a predicted model, not a curated record.